CCUACGGGGGGCAGCAGUGGGGAAUAUUGCACAAUGGGGGAAACCCUGAUGCAGCGACGCCGCGUGAGUGAAGAAGUAUUUCGGUAUGUAAAGCUCUAUCAGCAGGGAAGAAAAUGACGGUACCUGAUUAAGAAGCCCCGGCUAACUACGUGCCAGCAGCCGCGGUAAUACGUAGGGGGCAAGCGUUAUCCGGAUUUACUGGGUGUAAAGGGAGCUUAGACGGGCGGUCAAGUCAGCUGUAAAAUCGCGCGGCUCAACCGCGCCCCGCAGUUGAAACUGGACGCCUUGAGUUCACAACAGGCAGGCGGAAUUCGUGGUGUAGCGGUGAAAUGCAUAGAGAUCACGAGGAACCCCGAUUGCGAAGGCAGCCUGCCGGGGUGCGACUGACGCUGAGGCUCGAAGGUGCGGGUAUCAAACAGGAUUAGAUACCCCAGUAGUC
RNAcentral lists this ribosomal RNA (439 nucleotides) under uncultured bacterium. Its description in RNAcentral is "partial 16S ribosomal RNA". It matches the Rfam family "Bacterial small subunit ribosomal RNA", at positions 338 to 795 of the family's 1533-position model. The record is from RNAcentral.